CUGGAAAUAACAUUGAUAUAAACAGCAGAACUGUUCACAUUGCCUGUACAUUCUGAGUUCAAUAUAGACAUCAAGCUCUCUGUGUGUUUAGCAUUGCAGUGCGAAGUAAUCUUUUGAAAUGAAUUGGCUAAUCGUCUGCUGUUUGAUGUGCUUGACCUUCACCUUGUCCACACAGCAAGAACUUGAUUGCACAGACAAUGGAGUAUUUUACCCGAAUGGCUACAGAUUCAAACCGGAGCCGUGUAAAACUUGUUACUGCUCCAACGGGAACUACGGUUGUAUAGCUGUCAUGUGUGGCUUGCCCAAGUGUAAAGGAGAAGAUAAGCCUUUCGUCAGGGAUGGCGACUGUUGUCCAACGUGUCCUUAAAUAAGAGACUGUGGAGUCGGCUACUUUGAACCUACUGUAAUAUUUUGAUGACUGUAUGAUGUAAAUAUAAAUAAAAUGUAAAUGUA
This is an RNA transcript of Biomphalaria glabrata, 453 nucleotides long. It is a transcript of the gene named cysteine-rich motor neuron 1 protein-like, with no coding region annotated. NCBI's taxonomy places the organism in Eukaryota, Metazoa, Mollusca, Gastropoda, Planorbidae. The record is from RefSeq and is a predicted model, not a curated record. The transcript is spliced from 3 exons.